GGCUUCAUAGCUCAGUGGUAGAGCAUAUUUACACCGGUAUAUCCAACCUCGUUCCCAGGGCUUUUCCUAAUUUAGAAGGGAAAAGCCCUGGGAACGAGGUUGCGGUAUAUCGCAAGGAACAUUGGUUUGAAUCCCGUUGAAGCUCCA
Molecule: non-coding RNA, 147 nt
Organism: Desmophyllum pertusum
Lineage: Eukaryota; Metazoa; Cnidaria; Anthozoa; Scleractinia; Caryophylliidae
Source: the annotation of a GenBank genome assembly